Molecule: non-coding RNA, 103 nt
Organism: Chiloscyllium plagiosum (whitespotted bambooshark)
Lineage: Eukaryota; Metazoa; Chordata; Chondrichthyes; Orectolobiformes; Hemiscylliidae
Source: RefSeq, a predicted model, not a curated record
GUGAAUUGAUGUUAUUUCUGCAAAUUAUAAGUUCUGAUACAGAGUAAAUGAAUUCACAUUAGUCUGUGAUUGUUUUCUCAGCUGGAAACUGAGUUAGCAAAAA